Gadus morhua (Atlantic cod) is the source of this 480-nucleotide long non-coding RNA. RefSeq lists it as uncharacterized. NCBI's taxonomy places the organism in Eukaryota, Metazoa, Chordata, Actinopteri, Gadiformes, Gadidae. The record is from RefSeq and is a predicted model, not a curated record. The transcript is spliced from 4 exons.
GGAGCGGUCCUCCAUGUGUUGAGUUGAUGAUGGAGAUGAAGGAGGUUCGGUCAGCACCACCAUCAGACUAUCAGGAACUGCAAUUGAACAGGGACCCAGACACUGUUGUGACCAUCGUCAACCCUGGAGCAUCCCAGAGACUAUGUGGUAUGGUCCAUCUGCAGCUUCUUCCACGCAAACCCCUUUUGCCUCGGACUGUUGGCGCUGAUCUUCUCAUUCAAGGCAAGAGACAUGAAGGUGACUGGAGACCUGCAGAGAGCCAGGGAAUACAGCAAGUGUGCUCUGGGCCUCAACGUGGCUGCGCUGAUCAUUAUUAUUUUGACUAUCUUGAGUCUUGUAAUUGUUUUGAUGAUAGUACCCGUUAUAGCCCAUUGGAGUCAGUUGUUGUCAGUCCUGCCAUAACUCAAACCUGAAAAAAAAAGUUUCAAAGGCUUGUAGUCUGGGUUUGAAAACUCAACACCUUGUAAAAAAGGUUUUGCA